RNAcentral lists this ribosomal RNA (507 nucleotides) under uncultured Glomus. RNAcentral's name for it is "SSU rRNA". It matches the Rfam family "Eukaryotic small subunit ribosomal RNA", at positions 569 to 1079 of the family's 1831-position model. The record is from RNAcentral. Lineage: Eukaryota; Fungi; Glomeromycota; Glomeromycetes; Glomerales; Glomeraceae.
AGCAGCCGCGGUAAUUCCAGCUCCAAUAGCGUAUAUUAAAGUUGUUGCAGUUAAAAAGCUCGUAGUUGAAUUUCGGGAUCAAUAUGUUGGUCGUGCCUUGGUACGUACUGGCAUUAUCGAUUCCUACCUUCUGAAGAACCUCGAUGUCAUUAAUUUGGUGUCUUGGGGAAUCAGGACUGUUACUUUGAAAAAUUAGAGUGUUUAAAGCAGGCUCGCGCUUGAAUACAUUAGCAUGGAAUAAUGAAAUAGGACGUUUGAUUCUAUUUUGUUGGUUUCUAGGAUCGACGUAAUGAUUAAUAGGGAUAGUUGGGGGCAUUAGUAUUCAAUUGUCAGAGGUGAAAUUCUUGGAUUUAUUGAAGACUAACUACUGCGAAAGCAUUUGCCAAGGAUGUUUUCAUUAAUCAAGAACGAAAGUUAGGGGAUCGAAGACGAUCAGAUACCGUCGUAGUCUUAACCAUAAACUAUGCCGACUAGGGAUCGGAUGAUGUUAAUUUUUAAUGUACUCAU